This 494-nucleotide ribosomal RNA is filed under the name uncultured bacterium. RNAcentral describes it as "partial 16S ribosomal RNA". It matches the Rfam family "Bacterial small subunit ribosomal RNA", at positions 28 to 507 of the family's 1533-position model. The record is from RNAcentral.
GACGAACGCUGGCGGCGUGCUUAACACAUGCAAGUCGAACGGUGAAGCGCCUUCCUUUUUGGUGGGUGUGGAUGAGUGGCGAACGGGUGAGUAACACGUGAGUAACCUGCCCCCUUCUUCUGGAUAACCGCAUGAAAGUGUGGCUAAUACGGGAUAUUCUGGGUCUGUCGCAUGAUGGGUCUGGGAAAGAUAUUGUUUCGGUGGGGGAUGGGCUCGCGGCCUAUCAGCUUGUUGGUGGGGGGAUGGCCUACCAAGGCGGUGACGGGUAGCCGGCCUGAGAGGGUGGACGGUCACACAGGGACUGAGACACGGCGCAGACUCCUACGGGAGGCAGCAGUGGGGAAUAUUGCACAAUGGGCGCAAGCCUGAUGCAGCGACGCCGCGUGAGGGAUGGAGGCCUGCGGGUUGUGAACCUCUUUAGCCAGUGAAGCAGGCCUGCCUCGUUUGUGGGUGGGUUGACGGUAGCUGGAUAAGAAGCGCCGGCUAACUACGUG